CCAGAAGAAAAAGCGAAAUUGAGAUAGACUCUUCUGCUUCAGUUACUUCAUUAAUCUAGGUUGCGCUGUGGUUGAAGUAACCCGAUAAAGUUGAAAGCAAUUCUUAAGUUCAAAUACAGAAUCAUGACAGAUUCCCUUCGCAUUUGUUGGAAUUGUUAAUAAACCCCCUUUCAACAUUGAUCCAAAUUCAACCAACUAUUAGUGCAAAAAACUUAGUUAACCAAAGUUGGAUGCCCUUGAAUAUGUUCUUAUAUGGUUCUUUAGAUGCCUUCUUUCUGCUGUUUUGAGUUGUGCUUGUGAAUUAAAUUUGGUGAUUCUUUCUAUAGUACUUGCAUAUUUUAUCAAAGUCUAACAAUGAUCAUGUGAUCUGGCCUUGGACUAAAGUUCAGUCUGGUGAAAGUUGGAACAAUUUAUCCAAAAUUAUCAUUAAGGUGGCA
This 437-nucleotide long non-coding RNA is filed under the name Solanum tuberosum (potato). RNAcentral's name for it is "long non-coding RNA (STUB_LNC010336)". Lineage: Eukaryota; Viridiplantae; Streptophyta; Magnoliopsida; Solanales; Solanaceae. The record is from RNAcentral.